Molecule: long non-coding RNA, 8982 nt
Filed under: Setaria italica (foxtail millet)
Lineage: Eukaryota; Viridiplantae; Streptophyta; Magnoliopsida; Poales; Poaceae
Description: long non-coding RNA (SITA_LNC000996)
Source: RNAcentral
UACUUCAUACCCUCUUCUAAAUAAAAGCCAAUUAGGUUAUAUAUCGGUUUUUCAUAAACUAAAGUUAAUUUGGUUAAUGCCUAUCUAAAUAAUUCUUCCAAUUAAAAGCCACUUAGAGUUAUACCUCGGCGUUUCAUAAAUUAAAUUCAAUUUGAUUAAUGUUUAUUCAAUUUGUUUUCUAAAUAAAAUCUGUAUAGGUUAUAUCUCGAGUUUUCAUAAUUAAAUAUUAAUUUGGCUAAUAUAAAUAUGAAUGUGUUUUUAAUUUAAUCUACUUAGUUGAACUCGAGAUGUAAAGCUAUACGCUUAGAUGUCUACAUGUAUCUUAUUUUUAAAUUAAAUGUUUAAUUUGCAUAAAUUGUACUCAAAUAUUUAUAAAUAAAAUUGGACUAAGCUUUACACCGUCUUUUCUUAUAAAAAUAUAAAUAUGACUUGAUUAAUUCUAACUAAGGAUAUUUCUCUGAAAUAUCUUUACAUUGCUUUUCUCAACUAAAAUAAAUAAAGCUUGUAGCUCUUAUCUUUCUUUUAUAAUUCAAAACUCUCGAUAGCUUUAUCUUUUCAACCAUAGUUUCGUUUUAAGCGUUCCAUACGUUCGCGUGACCUUAGAUCGAGCCUUGUCGUUAGUACGCUCUUUUAAAGCUUUCCUUUUGUUUUGGUGUACUGCUCUUAGUUGUAUUUGUUUGCUUGCUUGUAUGACCGUGCCGGUGAUUGCUUCGAGUAGAAGGAUCGCUGUUCGAAAGCUUUGAAGAUUAAGAGUUUCAAGAGAGCAAGAGCCAAAGAGCAGUAAGAAGUAACUUGUCGCUGGAGAAAGGCAAGUGUGUCCUUGUGCUUUUGUCCCAAUAACUUUAUUUAAUCACUAUUGCAUAUGCUUGCAUUAAAUUUGAUGGGUCCUAUUAAGGUUUGCCUAGUUUUUAUGAUUAUUCCUUGCCAACCUGGGUUUACCUUUCUGUUGGGUAGCUAUGCUUAGCUGCUAUACUUGGGUUAUGGUGGUUCUAAUGAACAAAGAUGAUGAACCUAUUUUAUUUAUGCUACACCUUCCUUUAAUACAAGAUCACUGUGAUUAAUUGGAACAUGGAGAACCACCCAGGAAAACAGUGCUACCACAAGACUAAAUGGCCCUGGUCUUGGUUGAAUAAUUAGAAACUCUAGUUUGGGGUAACCUUACCGAAAGGGCAAGAGGGGAGGCGUUGAUGGGAUAUAGCACUCGCUCUCUUGGGAAGUGGGCUUGGCUAAGACACUAUACCCUCUAGGGGACUGCUAUGUUUCGCUUCGACCUGAAACCUUAGCGGGUUACCACAUUGCUAGCGAAUCUUUGUAAAGGCCUCGUAGCGUCCCUAUGCAAUCACACCUCGGAAGUGUGGUAUUGUGCCUGAUCAGCACAAGCGUGGUUGGGUCUAAAGUUCUUUUGAGCUUUUACGCGACUUGUGGGUAAAGAUGUGCGACCUCUGCAGAGUGUAAAACUGAUCGAUCAGCCGUGCUCACGGUUAAGAGCGGCCUGGACCCUCACAUGAGUAAUAUACUUGAAGAUGGAUUUAAAUUGUGGUUUAUGCUAUGGUUAUGGUUGUGCCAUAUGCUUAUGGCUUAUAUUUAUGUUUAUAUUAAUUGUGGGUUGGUAUAUACUUAUACCUUAGUAAUCAGGUGCUAAUAAAAUUUGACCAACUAAAAAUGCUUAAUGCAGUCAACCAGUCAGCCUUUCCUUGUUUAACCCUUGCAUUCAUAUUCUCCUCACACUUGCUGAGUACGACAAGUGCUCACCCUUGCUAUAAACAACGUUGCUCAGAAGAAGAAGCUGCUAUGAAGUUGAGAAGAUGCUGAGUUCUAGGCGUACGCAACCCCCAGUCGAUUGCCUGUGAAGUUUGGAGCCUCCGUUUCCAGUGUUUAAGCUGUGUAUCUCUGAUGGUUUGUAAGUCUUUAUUUGUAUCUUUUCACGUGAUACUGUUGCUGUUAUUCACUAUAUGUAUGAAAUUUGAUCCUGGCAUACAUAUAGGUAGCAUUCGGUUUUGCCUUUAAAACCGGGUGUGACAGAAGUGGUAUCAGAGCCGUAUCGACUGUAGGACGUAAGCCUAGAUAGCAAUGGUCACUUCCUAAGGUCUAUUUUACUAUAUAAACAAUUCCUGCCUUAUCCUUGACCUUUCUGAAAAAUAUUCUCACUCCUUGAUCAUUUUCUUUUCUCAAUCCUCCUUGAUAACUUGAGCUCUUUUCAUUUGCACUUCUUGUCUUGCAAAUGUUAGACCCUCAAUCCUUGUCUAUUUAUUUCCUCUCUCCUUGAUCACUGCUUGAUCUUGAUCAUGCAUCUCCUUCUUGAUGAAUGAUCUUACCUGUUUGAUGCAAUACACCUCCUUGAUUUCUUAGUGAUGUUGCUACUCUCUAAUCCCCUGUUCAUUUAUCUCCUUAAUAUUUUCCUUACUUACUUAUCCUUGUAAACCUAUCUCUUCCUUAACUUUAUUUUUAGUAUAUCCAUCUUCCCCAUUGUACCUCUCGUUGCUUUUCAAAUAAAUGCUACCUUGGAAUCUUUUCCUUGACUUUUUCCAAAAUGUCUCGUUUUAUUCAAAAAUAUCUAGAUGAUCCAUGCCACCUGUCUUAAAGCCUGUUCAAGACAUCUGAAGAAUGGAGUUACCAGUUCACCACUAGAAGUCAAGCCUGAGCAAUUGAAACAUGCACCAAACAUCUGGAGUCAAUGCUGGGCAAGCUGAAGGAUGCCUACAUCAAGUACGUUGAAGUCUUACCAAACAACCCCUGCUUAGGAGUACCCCUUGUAGCCUUAUUAACAACGUUUAGCCUCGUUUCUUGACUCUGUGUUGACUGGUGGAAUUCUGUGUUUGCAUGAUGAUGCUUGUCUUUAUGAAAUUGUCUGAUUUGUUUCUUUGUAAUGAUUGUUGGUGUAUUGUGGGUCUUCUAUCUACAAUGACAUCAGUUGCCUAGCUAGGUUCUUCUUUUGAAUCUCCCAUAUCCUUGUCGUCCAUUCCCUUCUACCCGAGCCAAUGAAGGACAUCAGAAAAGAGGGAACUAAAGUCAACACCGACAUCAACAAGCAGGAGUUAACAUCACCACCACUGUCUCGCUAGAAGCAAGUUGAAGAAUAGAAGGCUUUACUCUGAUCUCCAUCUUACUCUAAUGAUGAUUAGAAGAACCAAAGAAGAUGAAGAAAGCAGGGAGAUUCUACUCUCGAUAAGCAAAGAUGGAAGACUAUCCACUCUACCAUAAGGAACUUGUUGUCUCCCACCUCUUUGUUUUCUUUCUCUCUUCGAAUCUGCUUGUACCUCCCACAUCCUUGUUGUUUUUCUUUCUAUCUCCCAAUUCUGAUGGACAUCACGAAGAGAGUGAAGGCAACACCAAUGCCAACAAGCGGAGGCUAUCGCCACCAUCACCGUCGAAAUAGAAGCAAGCCGAAGAAAAGAAGGCCCUAGCCUAGAUUUCUUGCCACCUCGCUACUUUCUAUCCUUCCUUCUACCUUACUCGGAUGAUGACCCAAGAAAAGACGAUGAUAUCAUGAAGUGCUCUACCUUGUUCUGCAAUUUUAUCCAUUUCCUAUUUUCUUCUGACCCUAUCUUUAUCACCCAACCAAAUAGCGAGUCCCAAUGAAAAUCAUGAAGAUAGAGCCAAUGAAGGAGAUCUUAACAUUCCACCUGUAUCCGCAUUAUUUGAAUGCAAGGUGUUAGAGUAUAUGGCAACACAAAGUCGGACUUUACAAGCAAUGGCUCAAACCAUGGUCAGUAUCCAUCAGUAUAUCACAGAGCACGUCUCACUCCCUCGAAACCACAACCAUUGGCAGAUAACAGUACUCAGCCUAGUUCCCACCAACUAUAGCCUAAAGUUGUUCACCAUCCACGUGGCAACCCCAUCAAGAAGAGUCCCAAUGCGCAAGCUAUUCCACCGAUAGCUACCAUGGAGCAGAAAGGAAGACAAGAAGGAUGUAAUAAAAGAUUGUGCUUCAGAUGCGGUGAAGAAGGCCAUUAUACCAAUAACUAUCCAAUAAAGUGUAAGUGGACCAGGUCCGUUGGAGCCAAAAUAUAUUGCCUCUAUUGUGGAGAAAAUAGACAUCUUGACUAGUCGGUAUGCAAAAGAGAAGGAUGAUCAACCCCAGGACCAAGGACCCAAAAGCCCUGCCUUCAACCCGACAACAUCAGUUGGCCUCUUUGUCAGGACGAAUGAUCAAGACGCCUCAGUCAGGAAAGAAUGCCAUCAGUUACCAAAGCCCAACUCUCAUACCACAUCCAGUCUCCAAGAUACCAAAGCAAGAAAAACAUGUUUCUACUGCAAGGAAGAGGGACAUUUCAUUAGUUAAUGCUCCGAGAAGCGUUUGGACCAGAUGGAUAAGAAGACUCAAGGAUGUGUAUGAAGACUUGAAGGGUGACAGUCGAGCCAGAGGGAAGUAAUUCAGCUCUAUUCAAAUCACUUUACCAAGAAAUGAAGAAAAUUCUUCGAAGAUGGGCCAAAGAAGCAGAGUGAAGGAAAGGAUAUUUAAAAGAGGAAUUAGACUAAGUAUCCCUGAAGUGUUUUAUGUGAUGUAGUGAAGCAUAAAGAAGCAUGAUUGAGAAGCUUACGUAAGGAUGAACGAUCUAGGAAGAAGCUAAUAAGUGUUGGAUGCUACCCACCUAAACCUUUGUCUCUUGCUAGCCUUUGCGAAUCUCGGGACGAGAUUCUUGUUAGGGGGGUAGUGUUGUCACACCCUGAAAUUUCCGAAUUUCAGGAUGUGAAUAAAAAGAAUAAAUAAACAAUAAUUUUCUCAUAAUUUUAAAAUUUUCCCAACAUUUAUUUUUCUUUACAGGAAAUUUAGUAUAGGAAAAAUAAUUGUUUGCUUUUAUAAAUUAAAUAAUGUUGUUCUAUGUCUGUGCAUUCAUGUCACUGCAUCUUGGCGUUUCUUGAGUGCAAAAGUUUGAAAAAUGCGUUUAGACGUUGUCCAGACCCUUGUGAGAAUUUUCCAUCUUUUUCCGGAAAUUAUUCUCCUUUUUCCUAGAGCUAAAUCUAAUUUUUAGAAGGCUCUAGAAUCCUUUUCAUGAGCUCCAAGUAUUUUAUUUGGAUUCUUUGUGUCCCAAUCCAUCUCUGAGAUUUAUCUCAGAUUUUUCGGAAUUUUCUAGGUAUUUUUCUCGCUUUAGAAAACGAGUCCAGCUAUUUCUGGAAUUGUUUUCGCGGAGAUAAAUAAAAUCAGAAAUUCCGAAAAUAAAAAGUCAACUCGAAAAUAUCUUUUUCCGAGUGUGGCCUAUAUAUAUAUCACCGCGUUCGUCUCGACGCGAGGAUUUCAGAUCUACAAACCUUUUCGCGAGUUACCUCUCCUAACUCCGUAGAUCUGAAGUCAAAGUUCGGUCUUCGUCAAACUCCGGCGAGCUUUUCCGGCGAAACCGUGGACUUCCGGCAAAAACCGACACCACCAUGGAGUUCCUCUCUUCGAGCUCUACGCCGUGGUGUGGUGGAUUGCAUGAAUCCGAUGUCGGCUCCGUCGUCUUCCCCAACGCCGGCGAGCUUUUCCGCCACCAUUGUUCAUCUCUUGCCGAAGGUGAGCACACCAUCUUGUUCGCCUCGUCGAUAUCGUUCCAUUUUACCGUUCAUGCGCGAGAUCGGACUUCGUUUCCGCCUACCCCUCCUUCUCUCUCUCCCUCCCUCCUGUUUCUUUUCUUUCUGUACGCAACUGAAACCAUCGGUGCCGGUCCGUUCGUCCUGCUCGCCCGGCCAUCUUCCGCUCGCUUGUGCUGUCGCCGCGCGCACUGCCUCCCUGCGCAUUGCGCCGCACCACCGCCACCGGCUCACGCGCCGGCCGUCGCCCCUGCGCCGCCGCCUGUGCGCCGCCGGAGCCGCCGGCCGAGCCUCCCUGCUGGUGCCUUCACCCGCCGCCCGCGCUCCUGGCCUAGCCCCGGCCCCGGCCGCCGUCGCCGGCCAGCGCCGCCGGAAAGCCCAGGAGGGCCGGUCGGGCAGUUCAACCGUGAGGUUGAAGAUGAGUUGGUGAUUUUGCUAUUAGGCCCCUGAGGAAAACUCAAAUUUUCAGCUUAUUUCUUGUGUCUUGGCAACUUUACAGAAAACCCCUCGAUCCUUCCGGUCCCAUUCAAUUUAAACCGAGCCUCAAAUCUUUUGGAUCUAACCCUGUUAUUUCUAUUAUUUGCGAGCACUAUUCAUGGUGUCUUGCAAAUUUUCCUUGCUAACCCCUGAGGUCUACGGUUAAUUAUGUUUAGGCUCCUACAACCUUGUUUAACCCACAGAAUCUACGUUUUAAUUUCGUUUUCGUCCGUUCAAGUUGCGUUAGAUUCCUAAUGAUGUAAAUUAUACGUUAGUGGUAAUGUUUUCCUUCACACAUAUUUUUGAAAAUAAAAUUUAUAUUAAAAUUGAUUAAUGCUGUCAAACGAGUUCUUUUCUAAUAAAAUCUAUUUAGUGUUAAACAUCGUUUUUCAUAAUAAUUAUUAAUUUGAUUAAUGCCUACUUCAUACCCUCUUCUAAAUAAAAGCCAAUUAGGUUAUAUAUCGGUUUUUCAUAAACUAAAGUUAAUUUGGUUAAUGCCUAUCUAAAUAAUUCUUCCAAUUAAAAGCCACUUAGAGUUAUACCUCGGCGUUUCAUAAAUUAAAUUCAAUUUGAUUAAUGUUUAUUCAAUUUGUUUUCUAAAUAAAAUCUAUAUAGGUUAUAUCUCGAGUUUUCAUAAUUAAAUAUUAAUUUGGCUAAUAUAAAUAUGAAUGUGUUUUUAAUUUAAUCUACUUAGUUGAACUCGAGAUGUAAAGCUAUACGCUUAGAUGUCUACAUGUAUCUUAUUUUUAAAUUAAAUGUUUAAUUUGCAUAAAUUGUACUCAAAUAUUUAUAAAUAAAAUUGGACUAAGCUUUACACCGUCUUUUCUUAUGAAAAUAUAAAUAUGACUUGAUUAAUUCUAACUAAGGAUAUUUCUCUGAAAUAUCUUUACAUUGCUUUUCUCAACCAAAAUAAAUAAAGCUUGUAGCUCUUAUCUUUCUUUUAUAAUUCAAAACUCUCGAUAGCUUUAUCUUUUCAACCAUAGUUCCGUUUUAAGCGUUCCUUACGUUCGCGUGACCUUAGAUCGAGCCUUGUCGUUAGUACGCUCUCUUAAAGCUUUCCUUUUGUUUUGGUGUACUGCUCUUAGUUGUAUUUGUUUGCUUGCUUGUAUGACCGUGCCGGUGAUUGCUUCGAGUAGAAGGAUCACUGUUCGAAAGCUUUGAAGAUUAAGAGUUUCAAGAGAGCAAGAGCCAAAGAGCAGUAAGAAGUAACUUGUCGCUGGAGAAAGGCAAGUGUGUCCUUGUGCUUUUGUCCCAAUAACUUUAUUUAAUCACUAUUGCAUAUGCUUGCAUUAAAUUUGAUGGGUCCUAUUAAGGUUUGCCUAGUUUUUAUGAUUAUUCCUUGCCAACCUGGGUUUACCUUUCUGUUGGGUAGCUAUGCUUAGCUGCUAUACUUGGGUUAUGGUGGUUCUAAUGAACAAAGAUGAUGAACCUAUUUUAUUUAUGCUACACCUUCCUUUAAUACAAGAUCACUGUGAUUAAUUGGAACAUGGAGAACCACCCAGGAAAACAGUGCUACCACAAGACUAAAUGGCUCUGGUCUUGGCUGAAUAAUUAGAAACUCUAGUUUGGGGUAACCUUACCGAAAGGGCAAGAGGGGAGGCGUUGAUGGGAUAUAGCACUCGCUCUCUUGGGAAGUGGGCUUGGCUAAGACACUAUACCCUCUAGGGGACUACUAUGUUUCGCUUCGACCUGAAACCUUAGCGGGUUACCACAUUGCUAGCGAAUCUUUGUAAAGGCCUCGUAGCGUCCCUAUGCAAUCACACCUCGGAAGUGUGGUAUUGUGCCUGAUCAGCACAAGCGUGGUUGGGUCUAAAGUUCUUUUGAGCUUUUACGCGACUUGUGGGUAAAGAUGUGCGACCUCUGCAGAGUGUAAAACUGAUCGAUCAGCCGUGCUCACGGUUAAGAGCGGCCUGGACCCUCACAUGAGUAAUAUACUUGAAGAUGGAUUUAAAUUGUGGUUUAUGCUAUGGUUAUGGUUGUGCCAUAUGCUUAUGGCUUAUAUUUAUGUUUAUAUUAAUUGUGGGUUGGUAUAUACUUAUACCUUAGUAAUCAGGUGCUAAUAAAAUUUGACCAACUAAAAAUGCUUAAUGCAGUCAACCAGUCAGCCUUUCCUUGUUUAACCCUUGCAUUCAUAUUCUCCUCACACUUGCUGAGUACGACAAGUGCUCACCCUUGCUAUAAACAACGUUGCUCAGAAGAAGAAGCUGCUAUGAAGUUGAGAAGAUGCUGAGUUCUAGGCGUACGCAACCCCCAGUCGAUUGCCUGUGAAGUUUGGAGCCUCCGUUUCCAGUGUUUAAGCUGUGUAUCUCUGAUGGUUUGUAAGUCUUUAUUUGUAUCUUUUCACGUGAUACUGUUGCUGUUAUUCACUAUAUGUAUGAAAUUUGAUCCUGGCAUACAUAUAGGUAGCAUUCGGUUUUGCCUUUAAAACCGGGUGUGACAACAGCACCGCCAGGUUCUGAAGCAUCAGGAAGAAUGGAGGAGUUCUGAUGGCACAGGACAUCCGAAACAUGAACACCGAGAAAAUUGACUGUGAAAGAGUUAAUUCUGUAUCCUAGGCAUAGCUGAUGUCUUCCCAUCACUAUUCUUUCCCCAUUUGCAGUGAUCUGGUUCAGUCCUGUCGCUGAAGUAAUGGAUUAUGUACAUGUGGGUGAAAUAGUGGAUUAUGUACCUGAAGACUCGGUAAAUCAUGUUUCCGUCAUGGCACAAAUGUGUUGGAGACGUUAAAUUUGCAGACCACCUUCUAAUUAACAUUUUUCUUCUGAGGCUGUAAAUUUGCUGGAAUCAUGCGAUCUGCCGUUUCUUGAUAGAGAGAGGGAUUGCAUUCGGUUAACUUGUGGGGUCCAGCUGGCCAUCCCUUCCCCCGCUGAUUCCCAGACCCCACCUGGCAGGCCCGCUCGUCAAAUGUUGAGCCGCACCAGGCCAACUGGCCAAGCACAUCGCCGCCGCUCCGUCCCCAAAAUCUCCACGUUUCCGCUUCGCUCCUCCGCCGACCAACCC